UCCUCGUAGUAUAACAAUUACCCUGGUCUUGUAAACCAAAAAUGAAGUGUAAUUCUUCCUAGGACA
RNAcentral lists this transfer RNA (66 nucleotides) under Ochotona princeps (American pika). RNAcentral describes it as "tRNA-Thr". The record is from RNAcentral. Lineage: Eukaryota; Metazoa; Chordata; Mammalia; Lagomorpha; Ochotonidae.